Molecule: ribosomal RNA, 314 nt
Filed under: uncultured eukaryote
Lineage: Eukaryota
Description: partial 18S ribosomal RNA
Rfam family: Eukaryotic small subunit ribosomal RNA
Source: RNAcentral
CCCCUAGAUGUUCUGGGCCGCACGCGCGCUACACUGAACAGUUCAACAAGUCUUAACCUUGGCCGACAGGCCCGGGCAAUCUUUGAACGCUGGUCGUGAUGGGGAUAGACUUUUGCAAUUUUUGGUCUUCAACGAGGAAUUCCUAGUAAACGCAAGUCAUCAACUUGCAUUGAUUACGUCCCUGCCCUUUGUACACACCGCCCGUCGCACCUACCGAUUGAAUGGUCCGGUGAAGCCUCCGGAUUGGCGCGCACCUCGGUGCCGCCGAGAAGUUGGCUAAACCUUACCAUUUAGAGGAAGGUGAAGUCGUAACA